Molecule: long non-coding RNA, 596 nt
Organism: Lycium barbarum (goji berry)
Lineage: Eukaryota; Viridiplantae; Streptophyta; Magnoliopsida; Solanales; Solanaceae
Exons: 3
Source: RefSeq, a predicted model, not a curated record
CCUCAAGUAAAGCAACCUUCUUGAAAUGUGUAUGCUGUCUUGUACAACGCGAUAAUGCUUGAUUGAGAAAGCGGAUUACAACUAGAACUUUCAGAUAUUCCAUGUUCAGACCCUUGUGCCACUGCCUGAAGCAUUAAUUGCCAGUGCAUCUGCGGAGGAGUUUAUGCUGCACUUGUUACAGUUUGAUCAACAGUUGGUUAAGCUGGGGCAGGAGUUUGAAGAUGUUGAGGAGAAACCAGAUUUCUUGUCGAAAGGUCUUGAAAUAAGUUGAAGUCGUGGAUGCUGUCAACGGAGAUGGGACCAGUCAAGCUGCAAAGAUAUGCAAAGCGACUUCUAAUAGUGCUUUGACAGCCGGUGCUCCAUCCUAAUUCUUUUAUUGCAAGCCAGUUUAAGAUUUUGACUUUGUUUAAUGAUUUUCAUGUGGAAUGAUGUAUGUGGUGUUAAUGUUGUAGUUGAAUUAUUAAUUGUAUGUGUUCUCCGGAUUUUUUUCUUCUGCUGAUGUAUACACUACAAAUAUUAAGAUUUUACUGAGCUAUUAUGGGUAGAUGAAGAUGCAUUUGAGGAGGUUCUCAUACAAAAGGCAAAGGGUAAUUAUU